CCCCCUCUCUCUGUGUCUUUUUUAAGGUUGUUCAUAGUUACUGGUGAUGAAUGUUUCCGAGUAGAAGCGGUUCGGGUCAUGAACUGAUCGAUUCAUCUGAUGGGUACAUGGAUUAAUCAUAGUUAAUCACUUUUGGUUACUGGAUAAGGAAAAAAAACUGGUGCACACCUCCCUGCCUGUAGGAAGGAGACAAUACAAGCUACAACUGCUCUGUGUUGAGCGGUUGUUUGUUCUGAUGGGUGUCCAUUUGUUUCAGAUUUGCAAUUGUUCUAGUGAUGCUUAUUGAAGCCGUGACUGCUUGUUGGUGUUUUUUUUUUUGUAUUUCUUGAAGCAGGGGAAAGUUGUGGAAUUACAUAAUCUUGUAUGGUUGACAGUUAGUAUAUUGUUGCCGCUGUUAGUUGUUGUUUUUGGACAUUCUUCAAUGGUUGGUUGUUUAGUAGUGGUGCUCGGAAUCUUCCAUUUCCGAGGUUUUUCAUGAUUUGUCUCCCUUAUGAAUGAACUUUCUGGAUUACAUCCUUCUA
Tarenaya hassleriana is the source of this 521-nucleotide long non-coding RNA. RefSeq lists it as uncharacterized. The record is from RefSeq and is a predicted model, not a curated record. Lineage: Eukaryota; Viridiplantae; Streptophyta; Magnoliopsida; Brassicales; Cleomaceae. The transcript has 2 exons.